Molecule: unclassified non-coding RNA, 345 nt
Filed under: soil metagenome
Description: partial contains 5.8S ribosomal RNA, internal transcribed spacer 2, and large subunit ribosomal RNA
Rfam family: 5.8S ribosomal RNA (bases 1-120)
Source: RNAcentral
GAUGAAGAACGCAGCGAAAUGCGAUACUUAAUGUGAAUUGCAGAAUUCAGUGAAUCAUCGAGUCUUUGAACGCACAUUGCGCCCUCUGGUAUUCCGGAGGGCAUGCCUGUCCGAGCGUCAUUGCUGCCCUCAAGCACGGCUUGUGUGUUGGGCCCCGCCCCCCGAUCCCGGGGGGCGGGCCCGAAAGGCAGCGGCGGCACCGCGUCCGGUCCUCGAGCGUAUGGGGCUUUGUCACCCGCUCUGUAGGCCCGGCCGGCGCCUGCCGAUCAACCAAACUUUUUUCCAGGUUGACCUCGGAUCAGGUAGGGAUACCCGCUGAACUUAAGCAUAUCAAUAAGCGGAGGA